GAUCAUGGCUCAGGACGAACGCUGGCGGCGUGCUUAACACAUGCAAGUCGAGCGAGGUAGCAAUACCUAGCGGCGGACGGGUGAGUAACGCGUGAGCAAUCUGCCUACAUCAUCGGGAUACCACGUAGAAAUAUGUGCUAAUACCGAAUAAGACCACACCGAGGCAUCUCGGAGAGGUAAAAGUGAUUUAGCGGAUGUAGAUGAGCUCGCGUCCCAUUAGCUAG
RNAcentral lists this ribosomal RNA (224 nucleotides) under uncultured bacterium. RNAcentral's name for it is "partial 16S ribosomal RNA". It matches the Rfam family "Bacterial small subunit ribosomal RNA", at positions 15 to 248 of the family's 1533-position model. The record is from RNAcentral.